UAGGGAAUCUUCGGCAACGGGGGCAACCCUGACCGAGCAACGCCGCGUGAGUGAAGAAGGUUUUCGGAUCGUAAAGCUCUGUUGUAAGUCAAGAACGAGUGUGAGAGUGGAAAGUUCACACUGUGACGGUAGCUUACCAGAAAGGGACGGCUAACUACGUGCCAGCAGCCGCGGUAAUACGUAGGUCCCGAGCGUUGUCCGGAUUUAUUGGGCGUAAAGCGAGCGCAGGCGGUUUGAUAAGUCUGAAGUUAAAGGCUGUGGCUCAACCAUAGUUCGCUUUGGAAACUGUCAAACUUGAGUGCAGAAGGGGAGAGUGGAAUUCCAUGUGUAGCGGUGAAAUGCGUAGAUAUAUGGAGGAACACCGGUGGCGAAAGCGGCUCUCUGGUCUGUAACUGACGCUGAGGCUCGAAAGCGUGGGGAGCGAACAGGAUUAGAUACCCUGGUAGUCCACGCCGUAAACGAUGAGUGCUAGGUGUUGGAUCCUUUCCGGGAUUCAGUGCCGCAGCUAACGCAUUAAGCACUCCGCCUGGGGAGUACGACCGCAAGGUUG
RNAcentral lists this ribosomal RNA (550 nucleotides) under uncultured bacterium. Its description in RNAcentral is "bacterial SSU rRNA". It matches the Rfam family "Bacterial small subunit ribosomal RNA", at positions 355 to 896 of the family's 1533-position model. The record is from RNAcentral.